GAACGACGAGUUACUUGGCGAGAGAGUUGCAAUUCGUGGACGGAAUUAGUUAGGAAAAAGUGAAAAGGAAGAUUUGGAUAGCCCAAUAGAGCGAGUGCGGGAAGAGUGUACGGAAUAAGCUGAAAGUAGCAAGCUCUGGAGAACCGGGAGAGUGCCUUGAAAGCUCUGGAUAGUCGCAUAGACGAAGCGCACGUUGGAGUGUUAAGGUCUUUUACAAGUAAAAAGCUCAGAAAACUAGAGACACUACGUUGAAGGCUCUGGAUCGUCCAACUGAAUUGAUGCAAGCCUGGGGGUAUUAGCGUAAUCUGAAAGCUCAGAAGAUUCGAGACACGACGUUGAAGGCUCUGGAUCGUCCAACUGAAUUGAUGCAAGCCUAGGGGUAUAAGCGUAAUCUGAAAGGGGAAAGCUCAGAAAAUUCAAAAUACUGCGCUGGCGGGUUUGGAUAGCCCAGAUGAAGCGAUGAAGGUCGAAUCCGUUGUCCGAUCUGAAACGAGCACUUCGCUGCUCGCCUGCACCUUGACUAUCGCUUUUUUCCGACAUUUUCUGAUGUACAGCCUCGACAAUUGAAGUAUAGCAAUAAGGGCUUCGGGAUGAUGCAUAUGAAGUUCCAGGAUUCUCGUUUGCCUUUGCGGAGUCGCAGCUGUGACGCUGCCUCUGGAAUUCACGAAACCAUGGACGUCAAGAUCAUUCGCGACACCCUAGAAAACGGGUUCGUUCUGUACCCGAUAUCAGGAUCCAGUUCAAAAGCGCAAGCCUCAUCGCUGCUCUCUUACUUUGAUGUAGCAUGCUCAAAUCAUGGAUUCUUCAAUGUUUGGGAUCCUUCUGUUGCAAGGCAACUUGGGGGCGCACCAAUUCGCGCCCCAGCGUGGACAAGGCGAAAAACUCGACAUCUUCUCUCUUGAGGACGUCUUCACCAGCUCAUACCGAUUGUGCACUGUACUUGCCUCGUCAAAUACUCGACACCGUUCGAAAGCCAAACCGCCAUUUCUAUGUGGACAUUGAUGAAACCGGACUCGACAGCUGCGUGAUGCCUCGCUCGGAAUGUGGUACCCGAGUCUCCCGUCUUCUCUCUAGGGAUGGAGAACCGUCCAGGACUCGGAGUUGGGUUGUCGGAGCGAUCGCUUCGACCGAGGCGGGCUCCACCGCGUGGUACAACGGCAGCGCUCAGGGGCAGGAACUUCUCGGUAUCUACUCCAGCAGGAUGUUUCCUUCCUGUAUGUGUUCCAUCAUGGACAAUACCGCAUACCAAAUUCCUUGUAUCCAAUGGAAAAUCGUGCCCUUGUGCGUAGAGCGGACAAAGCAUUCGCCAGAGGGAUCACCCAUAAGCAGCACGUGAUCCUAGGAUACGGUGCCAGGCGUGGAGAAGCGGGUACGGUAUCGAGGCGCGUCCGCGCUACGCUUCAUGGACGUGUACAGAGCGGCGAGGCAAGGCGUUCACGCGCCACAUGGCGGCUCCUGGAGAUAGGAUGUAUGGCGGACAUACGAGAGCACCUGACCGCAGUCCAGUGUCACCGCUGAGAAGCGCACACUGAGGCUGUUACCAUGGACGCUGAAAAUAGCGUGCGAGGCAUAGCUCGCAACUACCGCAUGUGCAUCAAUUGCGUCGAUCAUAGCAAGAAGCUGCGAAAUGUGCAUUUGAACGCUGCCACCAACAUCCCCGCACUGCUCACGAAUAUGCUGGAGCGCAAGGCGCGAUCGGAGGACUUCAAGCCGUACAUGAAUGACAGGGAAAGCAAGCAGAGGCAGGAAAACCCGCAACAGCUGGUUUUGAUCACAUCUUCAGCAUGGGAAACAUCGAGAUUGAACGCCCGAGUUUGCCAACGGGACGAUUUCAGAUGGAGUCUAACAGAGGCGUCAAACAAUGUCGCGGCCAUGCCCUUGUUCAAAAAAAUGUCGUUCCACAAGCGUCUGAUGGACAAGCACGGCGAAGCGACGCUUUCAUAGAAAGCAAAUGUAAUGCUUCUUCCUGGACAGAGACGCGUCAUCAAGGAGGCUCUCGUUCCAUAUCUGGAUGCGAAAACGUCUUCAAGGAUCUCGUUGUCUACUCCUAGAACAUGUGUUCCCGUGCCAUGAGCUCUGCAUCCCGCUCUAGCUGACGCCGAUCCGGUGUAUUCGAUUCAAGUACUUCAGAAGCUGGAUCCGUGACCGCAGGGAUGCUCCCUGCAUCUUGUUCUGCAGAGAGGAAGGACGACGAGCCUUCCAGGACGGUGUCCGAUACGCUGCGAUGUGUCUCCCGCAGGUCUCUGGUCUGCCAAGGCGGUGCUUGGCCCGUGCUCCCCCCGCGGUACACCACCGGAGUGCCAGUUGCAGAUUCCUCGAAUAGCAGUUGCAGGCCUGUAUCCUCAACAGGAUUGGCGACCUCUUCACUGUAGUUCGCUAGGAUAUCGACCAGUUCGGAUCGAGAACGUCGCGGUGGGCGAGUAUGUCGGUGUCGCCAGAGCUGCUGCUCAAGUUCCGUUUCCGUUUCCGUUCGGUGUUUCUGCUCGAAUUGACGCAUCCAAGGGCCAGCAAUGGAUCCAGCAUGCCCUCUGGUCUGUUCCGAACGUUCCCGGUCAGCAGACUCGGACGGAAACGUUUCGGUUAGAGAGACCAUUCCGGACGGCAGCGUCCAGCUGCGUAAAAGCCCAGGACGCGUGCCACUUUCGCCAGCCGCUUGUCCGAUAAAGCGCUCACCACUGCUGCC
RNA transcript from Cyanidioschyzon merolae strain 10D, 2683 nucleotides. RefSeq lists it as hypothetical. The transcript has a single exon. Lineage: Eukaryota; Rhodophyta; Bangiophyceae; Cyanidiales; Cyanidiaceae. The record is from RefSeq and is a predicted model, not a curated record.